CAGCAGUCGCCACGGUAAUACGGAGGAUCCAAGCGUUAUCCGGAAUCAUUGGGUUUAAAGGGUCCGUAGGCGGUCUUGUAAGUCAGUGGUGAAAGCCCAUCGCUCAACGGUGGAACGGCCAUUGAUACUGCAGGACUUGAAUUAUUGGGAAGUAACUAGAAUAUGUAGUGUAGCGGUGAAAUGCUUAGAGAUUACAUGGAAUACCAAUUGCGAAGGCAGGUUACUACCAAUUGAUUGACGCUGAUGGACGAAAGCGUGGGUAGCGAACAGGAUUAGAUACCCCCGUAGUCCCUGUUUCUUAUAC
RNAcentral lists this ribosomal RNA (304 nucleotides) under uncultured bacterium. RNAcentral describes it as "partial 16S ribosomal RNA". It matches the Rfam family "Bacterial small subunit ribosomal RNA", at positions 506 to 807 of the family's 1533-position model. The record is from RNAcentral.